Molecule: long non-coding RNA, 2459 nt
Organism: Gadus macrocephalus (Pacific cod)
Lineage: Eukaryota; Metazoa; Chordata; Actinopteri; Gadiformes; Gadidae
Exons: 2
Source: RefSeq, a predicted model, not a curated record
AUGUAUUGUGACAUUUUUUAAUUUCAGGAUAUUGCUAUACUUUUGUACUUCUGUGCAUCACUAACAGCAGGUAAAUGACGGAACGGAAUGAAUAUUGCUGAAAAGUAAUGUAGUGUUGCAUAGCAGACUAAAAUGUUAUUGAUAACAGCAUUACAUAUUGUGAGCAAAAGUUGAGUCCUUGUCUUGGACCCAUUUGAACUGAAAACAUUAAUCUCAUGUAUUGUAUUUCUAUUGCAUUAGACUGCGUUGGGUUAACUUUGGAGACCUAAUGUUCUAUCUACUUGUCUCCUACAGACUUCUCUUGGCGGCCCUACAUUUCAACAGUAAUGGCAGAGAUGUAGCUCGAACCAGUGAGGGUGAGGCACGCUACGCCGUUAGCUACCCGUGGUUUCGGAAAGGUGGCUAGGUAGUCCGCCCCAUCAAGGAGAAACCAUCUUAUGGAUACGCAACAAAUCGUAUGGUCUCUCUGGUAGAGGAAUACUCUAGAUCACCACAGGCCGGACAAGGAAGCAGUAGUGUCUUGUCUUCUGCUGCCCCGCCCCCCCUCACCACUUCCCUCCAGAAGGUUGCCAAGGAUGAGGCAGUCAGCCUUACUGUAUUGGUGUAGAAAAGCUGGUUCUUUAAAUUAGUUAAAUUAUUUUUGCUCAAAACCUACUCUGGUCUGCUGGCUUGGAGAGGGCCAUGCUCCUGUCUGAAGUUCAUGUAAGCUAUCUGCAGCACAAAAUGAUUCAGACAGGAGGCUUCAAACCCUGGAUGGAGUGUGAGGCAGGCAAUAUCUUCUGGGGGAUCUAGGUUUUGGACAAGGGAACAAUAGGCGUCAAUCUCCCUACUGCACACACUCUCCACUGCUGACGGCAUAGCCUCACAUCUACCACACAAGCACCUGUUAAACAAAAUGUGGCAAGAUAAACUCACUCUCCUUCCCUCCUUGUAGCUCUAAUAGUUGGUGUAAGGCCUUGUAAGAAAUGACAUGUAGACUACUUAUUUCCUAAAGCUUAGGUAAGUGAGAUACACCAUCCCUCCAUUUAGGCACAGUAUAGGCACUCAAUUAGAUGCAAUUUCUCUGCAUGCCUUACCUUGCCUUAUCUCUGCAUGUGACAAUAAAAUAUCCUUGUAACAAUGACGAUAUUUACAUGAACAGCAUAUUCCCGUCCUAAUCGGAACACUAACUGCUUUCAGACACGUCCUCUGCAGUACUGUAUGCUAUCUCAUUUACAGCUAUAGCUAAAGCUAUAGCCUCCAGCAUUCAUUUAACAUCUGGGAUCUAAAAUAAAAAAAUGAAGGCACAUGUUGCUGGUGACAAUCUACAUGGAUGCUUAAAAAAAGUCGACUGCAAUAUUGCUAAAUAUAUUACAAAUACUGCAAUGUGAUAAACAUAAAGACUUUAGCCACCAUUAGUUAUAGCCUGUGGACACUCACCAAGACACCUGCCCAAUUCUCGAUUCCUACAGGCUGCAGCGAGACCUUACUCAGGGGACGGGUUGUAGAGCAAGUCUACCACCCGCUUCCCCCAGAUGGAGCCAGUAAGGACAUUGGAGCUGCUGCCAAUUAAGGAAAUGCAUAGCACCUCAGGAGCAGGUGGAAAAGCAGGGCUGAAAUAGCCUGCUUCUCCACUCAUUCAGGGCAUGUAGCUCAUGUUAGCUUACUGUAGGAUACAGCAUUGGUAUUUGAUGCCUUUAGCGUUUCAAAAUCAUUUGUGCCUGAAAUUCUACUGUGUGGUUAACAUUAAAAGUCAACACCAAGUUUUAUUUAUUUGAUUUAUUAAAAGCAUACCCAUGGGGUUUUAUACAAAAUAGGAUGUGUCCAAAUCACCAUGUAGCUAUAUAUAUAUUGUAUCUCAAUCCCGGGGUUACAUUGAACAAAAAUAUCGGAUCAAACCCACUAAGAAAUGUUUCUUGGACAAAAUAGAUUUACAAAAAACGUUUUCAUUGAAAGUGCAUUGCCUGAUAAGAGCAUAAUAAAGCAAUAGUAUGAGCAGUAACUGUGGGGGCAUAUCAGGUGAUGUAUUAUUGGUCCUGAAUAGAAUCCCACAAAACCUGUGCCUUCUGGUCAGCAGUAGUAGAGCAAAAUACAUUUAUCAAAAAGUGCUACAGCAUAUAUAAAAAAACAAACUUCACUUAGAAAUAAACAGCAACCAUGAGUCUCCUGACAAUGUCGGAUCAUAGCAAGAAGAUAAACAGAAAUAAAUCAUUUAUAAAACUCAACAAUUUAGCGUUCUUAUUCUGAACGUAAAAAUGAAAGACGGUUUUGUUGAACGACCAUUUGAAAAGCAAAAAAAAAACUUAAACCAACUGUUCUUCUCUUCUUUUAGCUGUUCAUGUUGGAUCAUCAUCAUUCUUAUAAUAUAUUCUGGUGAGUGCAUGUUUUCAAUAGGUCAACCACCAGAACAUCCAACGCAUGUCGAUGCUCAGAAACACCAUCAAAACCAUUGUUUACUUGUCACAUGUCCAGUUUAGCUG